This is a long non-coding RNA of Rosa rugosa (rugosa rose), 3156 nucleotides long. RefSeq lists it as uncharacterized. The transcript has 7 exons. The record is from RefSeq and is a predicted model, not a curated record. NCBI's taxonomy places the organism in Eukaryota, Viridiplantae, Streptophyta, Magnoliopsida, Rosales, Rosaceae.
ACAAAGGAAGUCUAGAAUCCAAACAACCUCGUAGGAGGCAUGAAUCAGAUGGUGUCUCUGGUUAUCCUGAAGAAUUGCCAAAGAGCAUAACUGAAAAGGGCAAACAACAUGUGAAACCAAACAGAAGGCAUGACUCUGGGGAUGAGUCUGACUUUGACAGCAGAACGGAAAGGAGAAGGAAUGGAAAGAAGAAGUAGCCAAGUUGAGCAGCAAAGGAAUCAAAGGUCAGCCGCAGGGUAGAUCGAGAUUAUUUUGAUGUGGAGAAAGCCAACAAUGUUAGAAGUGGAAAAAGCAUAAAAUCGUAUGAUAGUGAUUCUAUUUCUGACUAUGAAAGAUCCAGAAAAAGUAGAGGUGCAAUAACAGAAAAAAGUAGAAGGAGUGGUAGGAAUGAUACUAAUGAUGAUGAUACUAAUAUUGGGAGGAGACCUGCAAGGGUUGAAGAGGGUGGAGGACGUGGAAGGCACAACAAGAGUGAACUGCAAAAAGGAAGGAAAAAUGAAAGAGAUGAAGAGGAUCAUGAUUAUAGAAGGCCCAGGGAAGGUCUGGAAUAGGAACUUGGAAAUAGAAAGCGUGGUACUAGAGAGGAAGAAGGGGCAAAUGAGGAUAUUGAGAGGGAUAGACAUAUCGAUUACAGAAGAGCAAAAUAUGAUGGAGUCUAGAGCAAGUGAGAGGAGAAGGCAUGAAACUAACAUAAUGAAGAGGAGCGUAAGUCUAGAAGGCAUGGAGAAGAUAUGAAGGGGAGCGUAGAAACAGAUGACAUGGAAAACUGGAGGAACAACGGGGAAAUAAGGAGAUUGAGAGAGAUAGACGGGAUUCCAGAUCAAUUUUGAGGAGAAGGUAUGAGAAUGACAAAGUACAAUGAUGUUGUGACUGAUUCUAUGGUGUGUUGUACUAUCCUCUGUCAAUCUUAACAUUCACUGUUUGUUGGAAGGCUUUUGAUUUUAUAUAAUAUUUUGAGGGAUCACAUGCAAAUUCAUAGCACUACGUGCAUCAUAUCAGCAAACUAUUUCAAAUAUUAUGAGUUCCCAUUCAAACAUCCAAAUCAACUUUUGUUCAAUAGAAAUGUUCGUGGUCGUGUCACUAUCUGUUGCAUUUGUAGUGUCUAAUAAUGUCAGUCUUGAGUCUUUUCCUUGUAUCAAUGUUUGAUCCUUUGCUGCUCAUUUCACUACAAAAAAGAAUUCAAUUCGCUUCACCAAUUUGCAUCGGCGUGCAAUUGCUGUCGCUAAAGCCUACUCUUUUGCUAUGGCAAAACUUGACCAUCGCAAUUGUAUAAAAGUUAUGCAACCGUAUUAUUUCCCGUCGCUAGUUGUGGUCGCCAGCCUCUAUGGUUUACUUCGGCAAGAAUUUGCCGUCGCAAGCUAAUAACAAUUAGCGACUGCAAAAGACUUGCCGUCGCGUUAUCCUAAUUAACUCUACUCCGCCCUCUUUCGUCUUUCAGUUCUUUGAGCCCAUAACUCCAUCUCGAUCUGAUACCUCGAUGAUUACCCAGAUCUCCUCCUCGUCUCCUCCUCUUUCCAUCACCUCCUUGAGCUAUUUUCCUCUCCAGAUCUUACCAAAUCCAGCAGAAUACAACCGACAACUAAAUAAGCCGAUUUAGGUCAACUCCAUCGAGUUUAUCAGGAGAUCUACCAACCAAUCGUUCCUCUCAAUGUCAAAAACCUAAUCUAAUACAUUUCACCUCACCCACCUGCAGCCCCAAUCGGCUGCAACGAUCCCGAGUUCACCUAUCUCUUCAAGCUCAAACUAGACAUAGCUAGUUGCUCUUCAUCAACCGAUUUACUUCUGAUUUGUUUGGGUCACUGUGAAUAUCGACGCGGCGACGACGAAUCACCGAGGCGGGAAGGCCGGAAUCUCUGACUGGACCGCGUAUAUCUAUGGUUUAUAUAAACCAAGGUAUUCAUGAUAUUAUAACAAGGUAUUUGUGGUUUAUAUCUGCUUCUGCUUCUCUUCUUCUGUAGGCUUUAGCUACUUCAAAGGCUGGUGGACCGAUUCCCUCCUUUAAAGGCAUUUCAUUUUGUCCUUGACGACACUGAUGAGGUGAAAGGUGCUAGGCCUGUAAUAUAGUAGUUCCCUUUCCUUUGGAUUUGAUGUAAGGUUUCUGAUUUUGAUGGUAGAUCAUUGAGUUAAGAGAAAGAAGACGACAGAUUGAAGAACUUCGUUGAACAAGUGAUGGCACCAAAAACUAUAAUGAGAGGAGCAAAAAGAUUGUUAGAAGAGUGAUGAUGGAAAUCGUGACAAUGAACAAAAAAUUCAACAAAUUUCGUAUGGUGAAGAUUUUGUUACAAGAAGAACUACAUGUAAUCGUGUUGAUCAGAUUAUAUCAUGUAGAUGGAAAAGAGUAUCUCAUCCAGAAACUGCUGAAGCAUCAGAGAGUAACAGCCAAGAUAUCAUUGCAGCUCCAAAUGAAAAUGCACAUAUGAUUACAGAAGGCUGAAAAGUAGCUGAGCUCUAGUUGGAUUCUCAUGCGAGCUAGUAGUCUCGGAGUACCUACAACUAUUGAAUGGCUGAAUGAUGUUUUGGCCCCUGGUGGGAGAGUUGGCAUUGACCCUAGAGGAAGUGACAUUCCACAUUCACCUGUUAUGUAUGCACAUCUGAUUGUGGAGAUCGACAAAACAAAGUUAUAUGUAGAUACUUCCAAAGUAGGCAUGAGGUGUAGGAUCACCUGGCGAAUGCGGGUUUCAGGCCAUAUGACUCCAUUCUUUCUAAAGUAGAAAGGUGAGUUUGUGAGCUGAACCCUUUGUGCAUAGUGAACAUUUUUUCACAAAAGUGGUGAUCUUGUACAUGUAAUCACAUUUACAGCUUCAAUAGCAGUCAUAGUCCAAUGACAGAUUAUGACUUCUAGGCUGUAAUAGUUAGGCAUACCUUUAUGUCUUAAUUAUGCUUCUAGCCUGACCUUCAUUUCUUUUAAGAGGAAGGUGAACUCAUUUGGUACUUAGGAACACAACAGAUUGGCAUCUAGCUGAAUUCGGCUGAGAUACAUAAUCGUUGCAAGGCUCUUUGGGUUGCUGGUAAUGGAUUUGCAGAAGAGAUUAGGUUGGUGAGGAAUUGGUCUUAACACUACAUGUAUUUUAACUUUGUGAAUUUCAUGUAUUUGAAUAUUGGUGAAUAUGUAUUAAAUUGAUAUUGAAAAUUAAUCUAAUGUAUUUAUUUCUUUUU